This 87-nucleotide transfer RNA is filed under the name Rhizobiaceae bacterium MnEN-MB40S. RNAcentral's name for it is "tRNA-Pro". Lineage: Bacteria; Pseudomonadati; Pseudomonadota; Alphaproteobacteria; Hyphomicrobiales; Rhizobiaceae. The record is from RNAcentral.
UCGUGACAUGCAUGGUGGUUGUAAGCGUCUGGCUCAGGACGCCGGAUUUCGCCAUGUAGUGCAUGCGUUCGAUCCGCACAUCGCGAA